This 484-nucleotide ribosomal RNA is filed under the name uncultured bacterium. Its description in RNAcentral is "partial 16S ribosomal RNA". It matches the Rfam family "Bacterial small subunit ribosomal RNA", at positions 29 to 507 of the family's 1533-position model. The record is from RNAcentral.
AUUGAACGCUGGCGGCAUGCUUUACACAUGCAAGUCGAACGGCAGCGCGGGCUUCGGCCUGGCGGCGAGUGGCGAACGGGUGAGUAAUACAUCGGAACGUGCCCAGUAGUGGGGGAUAGCUCGGCGAAAGCCGGAUUAAUACCGCAUACGACCUGAGGGUGAAAGCGGGGGAUCUUCGGACCUCGCGCUAUUGGAGCGGCCGAUGGCAGAUUAGCUAGUUGGUGGGGUAAAGGCCUACCAAGGCGACGAUCUGUAGCUGGUCUGAGAGGACGACCAGCCACACUGGCACUGAGACACGGCCCAGACUCCUACGGGAGGCAGCAGUGGGGAAUUUUGGACAAUGGGCGAAAGCCUGAUCCAGCAAUGCCGCGUGUGUGAUGAAGGACUUCGGGUUGUAAAGCACUUUUGGCGGGAACGAAAAGGACUGUGCCAAUACCACGGUUCGAUGACGGUACCCGCAGAAUAAGCACCGGCUAACUACGUG